UAUUGCCUCUGUCAAAGGAGGUGCUGUCAGAGGGUCCCAGCAGGGGAUGUCUUGCGGGAAGUCCACAAGAAAGAAUGAAUGUUAUAUUCAGAGAGCACUUUGAUGCACUGCUCCUCUGCCUGGUCCCAUAUUUUGUGUUACAGAAGUGGGAUCCAAUAAAGUACAUAUAGAUGACAACUCCAAUAAAGAACAAUGGAGCAACUCAGCUCACGGAGCUCACUGAACCUUCCAGGAAGGGAGGUCAUACGGCACAGCAAUAGGCACUACUUGUCCAUCAGACAUUUAGUCAACAUCUACAUAAGCCUGUCACAGCCCCUGCCCUCAUGGAGUUUGAGCAAAGAAAACAUAUGUACAUAUACAUAACUGUAGAAAGUGCUAGAUGCAGUAAUGAAGAUUGAUGUGGACAGCGUUGGCACAGAGGAGCAUGAUCAACUCUGCUUUACAAAGGAGAUUACAACUUGAAAUAUGUUGGAGUUCACCAGACAGAAGGCAGUUGACGGACUGUCUAAACCAUGGACACUACAGAGUGGGACAGAGAGGGUCCAAGAAUUAGAUCCUUUUCUAUACUGAUGCAUCAAAGGAGUGGGCAUCUUUAAUACCUGAAGGUUAACUGCACACUGACUUAUAAAUUGCUAUUUUUCCUUCCCUGUUGUGAUGAUUAGCUUGGUAUUCAGUCCUUUGCAAUAAAAUAAAUAAGACAAUCUGGAACAGAUUGGAAAUGGAUUCUGCCUACUUGUGUUUGGGAACUAUGUAAAGCAUAUGGUGUUGGUUACAAAUCUCCGAAGCAGUUUGUUCAGAAAGCAACCGAGCCAUAUCAGUUCAGGCUUUGAUAUAAUCAGUUAUCAGCAAGCAUGCCCAAUGAGGAGUUAGCAUUUUCCUGUGAAAAGGCACUCUCGUCCUUGGCAUGCCAUUUGGAAUUAAGAGUUGCCCAUUUUAAUGGAGCAACCCAAGAUUCCAUGACCCCAGUUAUAAGAGAAGGUGCU
Talpa occidentalis (Iberian mole) is the source of this 983-nucleotide long non-coding RNA. RefSeq lists it as uncharacterized. The record is from RefSeq and is a predicted model, not a curated record. Lineage: Eukaryota; Metazoa; Chordata; Mammalia; Eulipotyphla; Talpidae. The transcript has 3 exons.